AAUCAUAUUCACGUAGCACCGGAAAUCCUGCUGCCACAAGAGCGGUCGCGAAGCACGUAAGAUGUGUUCAAUUAGAUAAAGACAAUUAUUUCUCAUGGGAAAAUCAAUUUUCGGCAAUGCUACGGGGAUUUGAACUCAUGGGAUACGUCGAAGGUGAAAUUUUGAACUCAACACUCCGUCGACUCGCCAACAAGAUCAGCUUAUCCUAAGCUGGAUCUUGAUAGGGAUUUCAACUUCUAUCCUUCCACAGGUCGUGGCCUGCAAGACAUCCGCGACAAUAUGGAACACCUUGAAAAGAAUGUACGUCUCCAGCACUUUGGCGAGGCAGUUACAUCUAAGAUUGCAGCUGCAAACCACGAAGAAGGGAGGCAUGACGAUGAAAGAUUUUCUUGCUAAUUAAGAUUUCAAUCCUAAAAGAUUCGCUAGCUGCAACCGGAGAGGUCUUGAAAGAAAAAGAGGUGAUUUUAAUUGUUUAAAAGGUCUUGGGGAUGAAUAUGAAUCAUUUGUGACAUCUGAUAGUACAAGGUUCAACACACAGACCAUAGUACUAAAAGACGUAUCCCAAGAUAUCUAAAACGCAGAGGAGGGGGGAAUACUGGUGAUACAGUAUCCCAAACCCGGGCACAACUUACCAUCAACUAGAAGUCUGGAUAGCCUAAGAUGAGUUGAGGUACCUAUUUUAGGGUUGGGGAGGUCCCAAGUCGAAUCCUAGGAAGAUCGACUUUCUUGAGGAUCGACUUCCCUGAGAUCGACUUCUGGAUAAAGUCGAUCACCAGGAAAGUCGAUCCCCAGAAAAUCGAUCUCUGGAAAGUCGACCUUGGGCCCCGAUCUGAUCAGUUAGGCAGUUAGGCGGUUACUGUCCAAAUGAUCAGAUUACCCCCAUAAGAAUCCCUAUAAAUAGGAGGCAUCCCCCACUCAUUAAAGGCAGGUCAUUUGGAGUAGAAAAUGUCCUAGCGAAGCAGAGCUCUGUGCAUUUGAGUUCCGGUCCGAUUUCCCGCGGAGUUCCCCGCUUGGCGCUUGCUUGCGCGUCUUGGAGUACUGGUCGAGUUUCACCCCCAUCAACAUCUAUUACAACUAGGUACGAUCACUCAAUGACUUUCAUUAUAUUGUGCGAACUCCUGAUCGACUAUGAGGCAAGGGUUCAAGGCUCAAGAAGUUCGGCGACCGUGAAUGUUGUAGCAAAAACACACAAAUCCGGACGAAUAUCAGAUGCAAAAUUGGACGGUGACUCAUCAUUUGGCAACGUCAAAUGCCAAAUCUACAACAGGAAAGCUCACUCUGCCCUAAAUUGCUACCAUCGGUUUAACAUUAAGAAAUACAGACCGACACAUACUCGUGAGCUCAUAGCUGAUGGACCAAAUGGUGGAAAUCGAUCUGCUCGGAAAGAAGAAUCUGCAACACUCUCCGCAAAUACAUUUUCUGAUUCUUCAAUGUCUCUUUGGUUCCCCGACACCGACGCAAUUUCUCAUAUAACUCCUACCGCCGAUAAUAUUAUUCAGUCCCCAAGACAAUUCACAGCUGAUGGGAGAGUAUUCCAAAAGACAACUUCAAAAAUUCUUUCUUGAUGAAAGAUUUGUUACACGUACCAUCGGCUACACGCAACUUAUUAUCUGUUAAUAGAUUUUGUGUCGAUAUAUAACAAUUUUUCUGUUAAUUUUAAUUCAAAGAAAGUGCAGGUCUGGAAUCCGUUUACUAAUGAGGUGCUGAUGGAGGGACGUGCGUCUGGUGGACUGUAUGAAUUGCCUUUAGAUCUUGAAUGUGUUGGUACGACACUAAAUUGUAGUUUGAUUCCUCAUUAUAUCUGGCACUGUCGAUUAGGCCAUUUAAAUUCGAAAUUCAUGUAUGUAAUAAUCAAGAAUGGGUCAAUAAAAACUGCUUUGAACAAUAAUGAAAUUUGUGAUUAUUGUUAUACCGGC
This 1916-nucleotide long non-coding RNA is filed under the name Zostera marina. RNAcentral describes it as "long non-coding RNA (ZMAR_LNC006090)". Lineage: Eukaryota; Viridiplantae; Streptophyta; Magnoliopsida; Alismatales; Zosteraceae. The record is from RNAcentral.